Mugil cephalus (flathead mullet) is the source of this 369-nucleotide long non-coding RNA. RefSeq lists it as uncharacterized. The record is from RefSeq and is a predicted model, not a curated record. NCBI's taxonomy places the organism in Eukaryota, Metazoa, Chordata, Actinopteri, Mugiliformes, Mugilidae. The transcript has 2 exons.
AGUCUGCACCGACAGCAGGCAGCCACAGAGCCAGGGACGAAGCCACAGAGGCCGGAGAGGACACGGGAGCAACACACUGCAGACAGAGAAGUCGGCGUGUGACUGCCGGUGGGCUGGAGAGAUACAUGCAGCAGGAGUGACUGAUGAAAGAAAGGGAGAGAGGAGGCGUCUUGAGAACUAUGGAGGAGUGAGGCUGUUUAUUACCAUACCGCUGGAUGCAGCCUUGGCCAGCUCUACAAAAAGAGGCUUGUCCCUGGCCCCCAAGUCCCUAGCGGCUGACGUGCUGUCGAACUGAAUUUUAUUCUUGGAUUAUUCAGUGAACAUUGUAUUAACCUAUUAUUUUUAACUAAACUCUUUGUAAAAACCUUA